GGGGGGGGCAAGCGUUGUUCGGAAUUACUGGGCGUAAAGGGCUCGUAGGUGGCCAACUAAGUCAGACGUGAAAUCCCCAGGCUCAACUUGGGAACUGCGUCUGAUACUGGAUGGCUUGAAUUCGGGAGAGGGAUGCAGAAUUCCAGGUGUAGCGGUGAAAUGCGUAGAUAUCUGGAGGAAUACCGGUGGCGAAGGCGGCAUCCUGGACCGAGAUUGACACUAAAAAGCGAAAGCCAGGGGAGCAAACGGGAUUAGAUACCCCGGUAGUCCUGGCCCUAAACGAUGAAUGCUUGGUGUGACGGGUAUCGAUCCCUGUCGUGCCGAAGCUAACGCAUUAAGCAUUCCGCCUGGGGAGUACGGUCGCAAGGCUGAA
This 373-nucleotide ribosomal RNA is filed under the name uncultured bacterium. Its description in RNAcentral is "bacterial SSU rRNA". It matches the Rfam family "Bacterial small subunit ribosomal RNA", at positions 527 to 898 of the family's 1533-position model. The record is from RNAcentral.